AGCGCAGGUGGUUUAUUAAGUCUGGUGUAAAAGGCAGUGGCUCAACCAUUGUAUGCAUUGGAAACUGGUAGACUUGAGUGCAGGAGAGGAGAGUGGAAUUCCAUGUGUAGCGGUGAAAUGCGUAGAUAUAUGGAGGAACACCGGUGGCGAAAGCGGCUCUCUGGCCUGUAACUGACACUGAGGCUCGAAAGGCGUGGGGAGCGAACA
Molecule: ribosomal RNA, 207 nt
Filed under: uncultured bacterium
Lineage: Bacteria
Description: partial 16S ribosomal RNA
Rfam family: Bacterial small subunit ribosomal RNA
Source: RNAcentral